Molecule: ribosomal RNA, 478 nt
Filed under: uncultured bacterium
Lineage: Bacteria
Description: partial 16S ribosomal RNA
Rfam family: Bacterial small subunit ribosomal RNA
Source: RNAcentral
GACGAACGCUGGCGGCGUGCUUAACACAUGCAAGUCGAACGGUAAGGCCCUUCGGGGUACACGAGUGGCGAACGGGUGAGUAACACGUGGGUGAUCUGCCCUGCACUUCGGGAUAAGCCUGGGAAACUGGGGCUAAUACCGGAUAGGACCACUGCCUGCAUGGGUGGUGGGGGAAAGCUUUUGCGGUGUGGGAUGGGCCCGCGGCCUAUGAGCUUGUUGGUGGGGUGAUGGCCUACCAAGGCGACGACGGGUAGCCGGCCUGAGAGGGUGACCGGCCACACUGGGACUGAGAUACGGCCCAGACUCCUACGGGAGGCAGCAGUGGGGAAUAUUGCACAAUGGGCGCAAGCCUGAUGCAGCGACGCCGCGUGAGGGAUGACGGCCUUCGGGUUGUAAACCUCUUUCAGCACCGACGAAGCGCAAGUGACGGUAGGUGCAGAAGAAGGACCGGCCAACUACGUGCCAGCCGCCGCAGUAA